AUUUAAUAAACUGUGUUACCGCCGUUGAUAGUAAACUUGAAAAUAAUAGCAGAAAGCAAAUACACUUUAUUCAUAGUCUUUGUAUGUUUGGAAAGUACAGAAAAACGCAAACCGGAAGUCUAGUCUGACUUAAAAUUUCGUCCAUUGACGGAAAAAUAUCCGGACGCAUUUUUUUUCGUAUUUCUCCCAAACUAACCCAAACUGAAUAAUCACAAGAAUGGAUGACAAAUGCGAAUAUGCAUGGUACCUAUAGGACACA
This 259-nucleotide long non-coding RNA is filed under the name Mytilus galloprovincialis (Mediterranean mussel). Lineage: Eukaryota; Metazoa; Mollusca; Bivalvia; Mytilida; Mytilidae. The record is from RNAcentral.